Molecule: ribosomal RNA, 244 nt
Filed under: uncultured bacterium
Lineage: Bacteria
Description: partial 16S ribosomal RNA
Rfam family: Bacterial small subunit ribosomal RNA
Source: RNAcentral
CGUGGGUAACCUGCCCAAGAGACUGGGAUAACACUUGGAAACAGAUGCUAAUACCGGAUAACAACACUAGACGCAUGUCUAGAGUUUAAAAGAUGGUUCUGCUAUCACUCUUGGAUGGACCUGCGGUGCAUUAGCUAGUUGGUAAGGUAACGGCUUACCAAGGCAAUGAUGCAUAGCCGAGUUGAGAGACUGAUCGGCCACAUUGGGACUGAGACACGGCCCAAACUCCUACGGGAGGCAGCAG